CCUGCAGGAAGACAUAUACCCUUGUGUGUUACAUGCCCCUUAAUGAAAACAGCUCAACCCUGUCAUGUGUUGAAGUUCAGCUGAUGGUCGGUUGACAAUCUGCCUGAAGCUAGUUCUUGAAUUGCUGCUGUCCUGAAUUGGAGCUGAAUGACCAGCAUACUGAGGGAACAGACUUCUGCUUGCCCUGGACCUGGAACAUGCCUGCCAGGAGAGGAGGACCGACCCUCACCACACUGUCAACAGCAGCCCGAGAAGGCUCUUGGCAGACAGUAGAGGGGCAGUCAUCGUCAACAGCUGCUCAUGCCUGGCUACCGGGCCCAGUACUUUCAAAGCCUGCAUUGUCAAGAGCGCAACCCAGGCAGCAGAGUCAGCCUGCAGAGUCGGCGUACAGUGGGGGGGAAGCAUGUUGACCUUCCUCUCCCAGCUUUCUGACAGGAUGCUAUACUGCUCAUGAAAGGCUGGGAGGAAGGGAUUCCUGCUUAAUGCCGCAAUCUGUUCAAAAUUCCAUUUGUUUUUCACCUGAGAAAAACACCUCAAAUACAAGACCGGGAGAAAAAUGUUUUCUGAAUAUCAAGAAACACAAAAUCUUUCUUUUUCA
Long non-coding RNA from Ornithorhynchus anatinus (platypus), 598 nucleotides. RefSeq lists it as uncharacterized. The record is from RefSeq and is a predicted model, not a curated record. The transcript is spliced from 2 exons. Lineage: Eukaryota; Metazoa; Chordata; Mammalia; Monotremata; Ornithorhynchidae.